AGUGAACGCUGGCGGUAGGCCUAACACAUGCAAGUCGAACGGCAGCACAGUAAGAGCUUGCUCUUACGGGUGGCGAGUGGCGGACGGGUGAGGAAUACAUCGGAAUCUACUUUUUCGUGGGGGAUAACGUAGGGAAACUUACGCUAAUACCGCAUACGACCUACGGGUGAAAGCAGGGGAUCUUCGGACCUUGCGCGAUUGAAUGAGCCGAUGUCGGAUUAGCUAGUUGGCGGGGUAAAGGCCCACCAAGGCGACGAUCCGUAGCUGGUCUGAGAGGAUGAUCGGCCACACUGGAACUGGGACACGGUCAAGACUCCUACGAGAGGCAGCAGUGGGGAAUAUUGGACAAUGGGCGCGAGCCUGAUCCAGCCAUACCGCGUGGGUGAAGAAGGCCUUCGGGUUGUAAAGCCCUUUUGUUGGGAAAGAAAAGCAGCAGGUUAAUACCCCGCUGUUCUGACGGUACCCAAAGAAUAAGCACCGGCUAACUUCGUG
Molecule: ribosomal RNA, 492 nt
Filed under: uncultured bacterium
Lineage: Bacteria
Description: partial 16S ribosomal RNA
Rfam family: Bacterial small subunit ribosomal RNA
Source: RNAcentral